This 253-nucleotide ribosomal RNA is filed under the name uncultured bacterium. Its description in RNAcentral is "partial 16S ribosomal RNA". It matches the Rfam family "Bacterial small subunit ribosomal RNA", at positions 524 to 776 of the family's 1533-position model. The record is from RNAcentral.
UACGUAGGGUGCGAGCGUUGUCCGGAAUUAUUGGGCGUAAAGGGCUCGUAGGCGGUCUGUCACGUCGGGAGUGAAAACACGGGGCUUAACCCCGUGCCUGCUUCCGAUACGGGCAGACUAGAGGUAUGCAGGGGAGAACGGAAUUCCUGGUGUAGCGGUGAAAUGCGCAGAUAUCAGGAGGAACACCGGUGGCGAAGGCGGGUCUCUGGGCAGUAACUGACGCUGAGGAGCGAAAGCGUGGGGAGCGAACAGG